AUAUUCAUUUCAACAACGAUGCUGUUUCGGAAAUUCUGACUCGAGGGAAAAUUAAGAACGUCAGAUAAGUUAACACGAAAGUUAUGAAGUUGUGAAUGACUGACACUUGAAGAAUGUAGAUCGCUUUUCGUAUAACAGUAAUUUCACAAAGUUCUCUCCUUCCGAACUCAAACAAUAUUUAUGUUGUGCUAUACUAAAAACCAACAGUUAUCUGAUUAGCUAUGUCCAAAUCAUCGAAAAGCUGAUUAAUUAAAUUUGGUUGAAGCCUCUCCCGCAUUAAACUACCGAAUUCAUAUCCUUAAGCAUUGGCCAUAAACACAAGCACAUUUCGGUAAUAUAUUUUUCACACAGAGCCAAAUGGCCAAAUAAUCAAGACUCUAUCUUGAUGAAGUCUGGUUUGUGUAGCUGCAUAGACGUCUAUUUCAGCUUGGGUCAAGCCAAAAUGCUAUUGAAAAUCGGCCAGUCCCUAUGCGACUAAUGUCGAAGAUGAAGAUGAAAGCAAAAUUAAAGUAUAUUUGUUUGGCCGCAAGGUACACAAUAUUUUUGCAGUCGUUUUAUUUUAUUCGUUUAAGUAAAAACGAAACGAAAUUGCAGCUAUCCCAAUUAUAAUGUUUUCCUUCACCAGUGUUGUAAACGUGAGGUGGUGGGCCACUCACGUUUUGCCUAUAUAUUCACUUUGGCAUAUUGGGUUUAUAUUGAUUUUGUUGUUUUAACCUGAAUCGAUGCUGAAUUUCAAUUUUUUUU
Bradysia coprophila is the source of this 744-nucleotide long non-coding RNA. The record is from RefSeq and is a predicted model, not a curated record. NCBI's taxonomy places the organism in Eukaryota, Metazoa, Arthropoda, Insecta, Diptera, Sciaridae.